CGUGGGGGAUAACGUAGCGAAAGCUACGCUAAUACCGCAUACGAUCUAUGGAUGAAAGCGGGGGAUCGCAAGACCUCGCGCGAUUGGAGCGGCCGAUAUCAGAUUAGGGUAGUUGGUGAGGUAAAGGCUCACCAAGCCGACGAUCUGUAGCUGGGUCUGAGAGGACGACCAGCCACACUGGGACUGAGACACGGCCCAGACUCCUACGGGAGGCAGCAGUGGGGAAUUUUGGACAAUGGGCGCAAGCCUGAUCCAGCAAUGCCGCGUGCAGGAUGAAGGCCUUCGGGUUGUAAACUGCUUUUUGUACGGAACGAAACGGUGAGCUCUAAUACAGUUUGCUAAUGACGGUACCGUAAGAAUAAGCACCGGCUAACUACGUG
RNAcentral lists this ribosomal RNA (380 nucleotides) under uncultured bacterium. RNAcentral's name for it is "bacterial SSU rRNA". It matches the Rfam family "Bacterial small subunit ribosomal RNA", at positions 135 to 507 of the family's 1533-position model. The record is from RNAcentral.